GAUGAAGAACGCAGCAAAAUGCGAUAAGUAAUGUGAAUUGCAGAAUUCAGUGAAUCAUCGAAUCUUUGAACGCACAUUGCGCCCGCUGGUAUUCCGGCGGGCAUGCCUGUUCGAGCGUCAUUUCAACCCUCAAGCCCCCGGGUUUGGUGUUGGGGAUCGGCUCUGCCCUUCUGGGCGGUGCCGCCCCCGAAAUACAUUGGCGGUCUCGCUGCAGCCUCCAUUGCGUAGUAGCUAACACCUCGCAACUGGAACGCGGCGCGGCCAUGCCGUAAAACCCCAACUUCUGAAUGUUGACCUCUGAUCAGGUAGGAAUACCCGCUGAACUUAAGCAUAUCAAUAAGCGGAGGA
This 348-nucleotide unclassified non-coding RNA is filed under the name soil metagenome. RNAcentral describes it as "partial contains 5.8S ribosomal RNA, internal transcribed spacer 2, and large subunit ribosomal RNA". The stretch from base 1 to 120 matches the Rfam family "5.8S ribosomal RNA", at positions 35 to 154 of the family's 154-position model. The record is from RNAcentral.